CCUACGUGUGGCAGCAGUCGAGAAUCAUUCACACUGGGGGAAACCCUGAUGCAGCGACGCCGCGUGAGCGAUGAAGUAUUUCGGUAUGUAAAGCUCUAUCAGCAGGGAAGAAACUGACGGUACCUGCCUAUGAAGCCCCGGCUAACUACGUGCAAGCCGCCGCGGUAAUCCGUAGGGGGCAAGCGUUAUCCGGAUUUACUGGGUGUAAAGGGAGCGUAGACGGCUUGGCAAGCCAGAUGUGAAAGGCUGGGGCUCAACCCCAGGACUGCAUUUGGAACUGUCAUGCUAGAGUGUCGGAGAGGCAGGCGGAAUUCCUAGUGUAGCGGUGAAAUGCGUAGAUAGUAGGAGGAACACCAGUGGCGAAGGCGGCCUGCUGGACGAUGACUGACGUUGAGGCUCGAAAGCGUGGGGAGCAAACAGGAGUAGAUACCCCUGUAGUC
RNAcentral lists this ribosomal RNA (440 nucleotides) under uncultured bacterium. RNAcentral describes it as "partial 16S ribosomal RNA". It matches the Rfam family "Bacterial small subunit ribosomal RNA", at positions 338 to 795 of the family's 1533-position model. The record is from RNAcentral.